This 503-nucleotide ribosomal RNA is filed under the name uncultured bacterium. RNAcentral describes it as "bacterial SSU rRNA". It matches the Rfam family "Bacterial small subunit ribosomal RNA", at positions 28 to 517 of the family's 1533-position model. The record is from RNAcentral.
GAUGAACGCUAGCUACAGGCUUAACACAUGCAAGUCGCGGGGUAACAUCUGGUAGAGCUUGCUCUUCCAGGAUGACGACCGGCGCACGGGUGAGUAACGCGUAUCCAACCUGGCCCAUACCACGGGAUAGCCCGUCGAAAGGCGGAUUAAUACCGUAUGCUGUCAUUAAGAUGCAUAUAUUGAUGACGAAAGGACUGGCGGUAUGGGAUGGGGAUGCGUCUGAUUAGCUUGUUGGCGGGGUAACGGCCCACCAAGGCGACGAUCAGUAGGGGUUCUGAGAGGAAGGUCCCCCACAUUGGAACUGAGACACGGUCCAAACUCCUACGGGAGGCAGCAGUGAGGAAUAUUGGUCAAUGGGCGCAAGCCUGAACCAGCCAAGUAGCGUGAGGGGAAGACUGCCCUACGGGUUGUAAACCUCUUUUGUUUGGGAAUAAAGUGCGGGACGCGUCCCGCAUUGCAUGUACCUUAUGAAUAAGGACCGGCUAAUUCCGUGCCAGCAGCCG